RNAcentral lists this transfer RNA (71 nucleotides) under Camelus bactrianus (Bactrian camel). It matches the Rfam family "tRNA". From Rfam's summary of the family: Transfer RNA (tRNA) molecules are approximately 80 nucleotides in length. Their secondary structure includes four short double-helical elements and three loops (D, anti-codon, and T loops). The record is from Rfam by way of RNAcentral. RNAcentral also lists the same sequence under 2 other names. Lineage: Eukaryota; Metazoa; Chordata; Mammalia; Artiodactyla; Camelidae.
AAGGGUAGAGCUCAGCGGUAGAGCGUGUGCUUACAGGCAUGAAGUCCUGGGUUCAAUCCCCAGUACCUCCG